Molecule: ribosomal RNA, 274 nt
Filed under: uncultured bacterium
Lineage: Bacteria
Description: partial 16S ribosomal RNA
Rfam family: Bacterial small subunit ribosomal RNA
Source: RNAcentral
AUACGGAGGGGGUUAGCGUUGUUGGGAAUUACUGGGCGUAAAGCGCACGUAGGCGGAUUGGAAAGUUGGGGGUGAAAUCCCAGGGCUCAACCCUGGAACUGCCUCCAAAACUAACAGUCUAGAGUUCGAGAGAGGUGAGUGGAAUUCCAAGUGUAGAGGUGAAAUUCGUAGAUAUUUGGAGGAACACCAGUGGCGAAGGCGGCUCACUGGCUCGAUACUGACGCUGAGGUGCGAAAGCGUGGGGAGCAAACAGGAUUAGAAACCCUUGUAGUCC